This is an RNA transcript of Rhea pennata, 3311 nucleotides long. It is a transcript of the gene named protein-L-isoaspartate (D-aspartate) O-methyltransferase, with no coding region annotated. The record is from RefSeq and is a predicted model, not a curated record. NCBI's taxonomy places the organism in Eukaryota, Metazoa, Chordata, Aves, Rheiformes, Rheidae. The transcript has 8 exons.
GGCGCUGGCCGGAGAAUGUCGGGCGCGCGGGGCGGUGGGCGCGUGGCCCCUCCCUCCGGCGGGCGCGCGGCAGCCGCAGCGGCGGCGGGGGGGGGCGGAGGCGAGGAGGCGGCGCCUGUGUCGGCGCUGGAGGUUGUGUCCUUCCUGGGGAAGCUGCUGUGCGCAGUCGCGGCGCUGAAGGCGGCUCUCUACCUGCUCCGCAGAGUGUGUCUAGCGAUGGCCUGGAAGUCGGGAGGCGCCAGCCACUCCGAGCUCAUCCACAACCUCCGCAAAAAUGGAAUAAUCAAAUCAGACAAGGUAUUUGAAGUAAUGUUGGCUACAGACCGUUGCCACUAUGCAAAAUACAACCCUUACAUGGAUUCUCCUCAGUCUAUAGGUUUCCAAGCAACAAUCAGUGCUCCCCAUAUGCACGCAUAUGCUCUUGAACUUCUCUCUGAUCAGUUACAUGAAGGAGCCAAAGCACUUGAUGUAGGAUCUGGAAGUGGAAUCCUUACGGCAUGCUUUUCACGAAUGGUUGGUCCCAAAGGACAAGUUGUAGGAAUUGAUCAUAUCAAAGAACUAGUAGAUGACUCAAUAAAUAAUGUCAAAAAAGAUGAUCCUACAUUGCUGUCGUCAGGAAGAGUGAAACUGAUUGUGGGAGAUGGAAGAAUGGGAUAUGCAGAAGAAGCUCCCUACGAUGCAAUUCAUGUAGGAGCUGCAGCACCAGUAGUGCCCCAAGCACUUAUAGAUCAGUUAAAACCUGGCGGAAGAUUGAUAUUGCCAGUCGGUCCUGCAGGAGGAAACCAGAUGCUUGAACAGUAUGACAAACUAGAAGAUGGCAGUGUCAAAAUGAAGCCUCUGAUGGGAGUGAUAUAUGUGCCUUUAACAGAUAAAGAGAAGCAGUGGUCCAGGUGGAAGUGAUUUUCUGUUCCACUUACUACUUCCACACACACGCAAGGUGAAAGGGUGUGAAUUUUAAGCAGAUAGACUGCAAGGCCUGCCUUUGCUGCUGUCAUUGCUUUCUGCUCUUCCAUACCAUGAAAAGUGACUCAGUCUGCAUUCCUACAUCACCAAAAGGAGGGAUGAAUUGUAAAAGCUACAUCAUCUUGACCCAGACAUAGUGUUACAGUGGACUGCUCAUCUCCAGUUCUAAAAGCUUUUUGAAAACCAACAGCAUUGCAGCUUGUUUUGGACUUUGUUAUACUGUUGUUAUCAGCAUGGAAAAGCGUGGUGUUUGUUUGUGUUUUUUUUUUUUUUUUUUUUUUUUUUUGAUUUUUUGGGUUUUUUUUUUUUUUUUUUUUUUUUUUUUUUUUUGAUGCUCAAGGCAAAUCUGAUAAAGAAAUGGUGGAAAGUUUUAUGUGGGCACUAUUUCAUUUAACAUGCCUUUAUUUUACUUUAAUCUGUUCAAAGAAAUGAAUUUCUGCAAAACAGCAGAUAAAGACCUAUAGCUUGUGAACGCUAAUUUUGAUGAGGGUACUUGAACACUCACUUCUCUCAACUCCUGUGUCCCUUGGUAAAACUGCUUCUGUGCACCUUAUGACACUAUGUAAGUAAUAUCAGAUUUUCUGUGUUCCAAUGUCUGCUAGAUGCUACUAAAAGGAGAUGAACUUCCUUUUUAAAGCUUUUGACAUGGUGUCAUAGACUAGCAUGUAGUAGAUACAAUCAGCUGCUUUAUUACCUUAAAACCAGGCAUUUGUAUAUAUUACAGACAUCAGAAGUGUGGCUGCUCUUAUUAAACUCUGCUGUUCAAGUUGGACAUAAUGAACAUGUUUUUCCCUUCUAAAAUAAUUAAGAGUCUUGAAACUCUAUUGUUUUAUAGCUCACUGCUGAUACAGUACACAUGGAUUUAACUCCAUAAACAUGAUACAAGCUAUGUCCCAAUCACUGAACAGUUUAUGCAGUGUUGCUUUGCCAAAUAAAGUUAAAAGCAAAAAGGGGGUUGUGUGUUUGUUGUGUGGAGUAUUAGGAUCACUGUGUGGUAGGCUACAGAGACAGAUCUCUGUAUUCCAAUAAAAUGACUUUCUAGAUUAAUUCUAAAUGCAAGGUGCUUUUGACAAAACUAUCUGCUGUAUUAACUUUCUCAUUUUUCAACAAGGAAAAGUUCUGGUGUAGUUUAAUUUAGAGGAUGAAUUCAACUUGUAUAACAAGGAAAACUUGAUAGGUACUGAACAAUAACAAAUCCUGAACACUUAAAUAGAGAUGUAAUUGUUCAAUUUUUGAAGCUGUAAUGGUAUAACCCUUUUUUUUGCCUCAAGUUGUGUUUUGCUGCUGUAAAAUGACAACAGGAAAACAAAGAAAGUAAAUUGAGCUACUUUGGGAAAGGGAGGAAGUGUGUUCUUGCUCAGUUUUGAGUAACAAGAAAUUAAACUGCAUGUUACAAUACUCCUUUCUUUUUUAACAUUAAAAAGGAUUAUAGCGUAAAAUAACCUGCAUAAAAACAACCCAUAGUGAUCACUGCAAAAUGAAUCUGACUGCUUAUGGCAGAACAGCAAUAUCUUUGUGAUAGGAUUAAUCACUGAAAGCGUAAAGUCAAAGGCCUCUGAACACGGAAGAGGAACAUUUUAAAUAACCUUCCUUUUGAAGGUCAGUCCUGUCUUAUUCUUGUGUAAAAGCUAUUUAUCACUUUAUUUAGAUGUUUUGGAAGAUAAUACACCACCUCCUAAUUUGACUGCAGCCUGGGAGCACAUACACAAGGAUCAGUCUUAUAAAGGAAGUAAUAUAUCACGUGUUCUAGAAAACACAGUUCAGAAAAACCCACUUGCGUCUGGCAAAUUUUUACUAACCCACAAUCAACUGUGAAUCUAGUUCGUGGUGUUGAAGUGAAAUAUCUUAAAUGAUGCAUGCUGACGUUCAACCUUUUGGUCACUGUUACCAUUCAAUUUGAGUUCAUCUUUAUUUACAUCUUCUCACUAAUUUAAUCAGUUAAAUGAAAGGCAAGAGCUAACUGUAUCCAAAUUCUUGUCUUUGGACACAGUGUAACAAACUAGCCUAACUCAAAGAGGUGAUAAAGCUGAGACCUGGCAACAACUUUUUUAGAGAGAACCACUUCAGGAGGUGUAAGACUUCAGGGACCAAGGCUAUUGGGCUUAGUGUGCCCAUUGUGUAGAAGGGGUUGAUGAUGAUCAAGUUACUGAGACAGAAAAGAGUAUCCAGGAAUAGCAUUUAGGAACUGGAAAAUGAAGACCCCUUCAUAAUGGAUCAAUGGUUCUGAGGUAAAAGCUUCUUGGAGAGAAGGACAAGUUGAAAUGCAGAUUUGAAGAGCUUGAAUAAAUGCUGUAUGAACUGUCUGGAUUGCUACUUUGCCAAAUAAAACAAAUUGAGAGGAAGCUGUA